CUUGCGCUUUGGGAGCGGCCGAUGUCUGAUUAGCUAGUUGGUGGGGUAAAGGCCUACCAAGGCGACGAUCAGUAGUUGGUCUGAGAGGACGACCAGCCACACUGGGACUGAGACACGGCCCAGACUCCUACGGGAGGCAGCAGUGGGGAAUUUUGGACAAUGGGCGCAAGCCUGAUCCAGCAAUGCCGCGUGAGUGAAGAAGGCCUUCGGGUUGUAAAGCUCUUUCAGUCGAGAAGAAAAAGCUGCAGUGAAUAACUGUAGUUCAUGACGGUAUCGACAGAAGAAGCACCGGCUAACUACGUGCCAGCAGCCGCGGUAAUACGUAGGGUGCGAGCGUUAAUCGGAAUUACUGGGCGUAAAGGGUGCGCAGGCGGCUUUGUAAGUCAGAUGUGAAAUCCCCGGGCUUAACCUGGGAAUUGCGUUUGAAACUACAAAGCUAGA
Molecule: ribosomal RNA, 441 nt
Filed under: uncultured bacterium
Lineage: Bacteria
Description: bacterial SSU rRNA
Rfam family: Bacterial small subunit ribosomal RNA
Source: RNAcentral